Molecule: transfer RNA, 76 nt
Filed under: Microcaldota archaeon
Lineage: Archaea; Nanobdellati; Microcaldota
Description: tRNA-Pro
Rfam family: tRNA
About the family: Transfer RNA (tRNA) molecules are approximately 80 nucleotides in length.
Source: RNAcentral
GGGGUCGUGGGGUAGCCUGGCAUCCUACUUGGCUGGGGGCCAAGUGACCUGAGUUCGAAUCUCAGCGACCCCACCA